Lolium rigidum is the source of this 305-nucleotide long non-coding RNA. RefSeq lists it as uncharacterized. NCBI's taxonomy places the organism in Eukaryota, Viridiplantae, Streptophyta, Magnoliopsida, Poales, Poaceae. The transcript is spliced from 3 exons. The record is from RefSeq and is a predicted model, not a curated record.
UGGUGAUUUUGAGAAAUAUAUUUGCAAGCAUGUUGUUGAAGCCCUGAUGGAUAUAUUUUACAUUAAUGUAUGACCUGGCAUUCACAUAUAUGCUCGUCUUUUUGGAAUCGUCAUGAAUGAAAAGAUCUAGCUAUGAUGUUGCUGUCAAGGGCCCAAAGAAGUAGUGAAUCAGAGGGACAAGAGGGCGAGGAUGCUGUUAACACAGAAAACAAAGAGGAAUAUCAAUGUGUGGAGGAAGCUUCAUCACCGCCGUCCCUCGCUUGCCGUCUUCCAACACCAGGGAUGAUACAUAUAUCUCUACAAAU